CCCAGACUCCUACGGGAGGCAGCAGUGAGGAAUAUUGGUCAAUGGUCGGGAGACUGAACCAGCCAAGCCGCGUGAGGGAUGAAGGUACAGAGUAUCGUAAACCUCUUUUGUCAGGGAACAAAGGCGGGGACGUGUCCCCGGAUGAGUGUACCUGAAGAAAAAGCAUCGGCUAACUCCGUGCCAGCAGCCGCGGUAAUACGGAGGAUGCGAGCGUUAUCCGGAUUUAUUGGGUUUAAAGGGUGCGCAGGCGGAUUUUUAAGUCAGCGGUCAAAUCGUGGGGCUCAACCCCAUCCAGCCGUUGAAACUGGCGUUCUUGAGUGGGCGAGAAGUACGCGGAAUGCGUGGUGUAGCGGUGAAAUGCAUAGAUAUCACGCAGAACCCCGAUUGCGAAGGCAGCGUACCGGCGCCCGACUGACGCUGAAGCACGAAAGCGUGGGUAUCGAACAGGAUUAGAUACCCCCGUAG
RNAcentral lists this ribosomal RNA (465 nucleotides) under uncultured bacterium. Its description in RNAcentral is "bacterial SSU rRNA". It matches the Rfam family "Bacterial small subunit ribosomal RNA", at positions 330 to 793 of the family's 1533-position model. The record is from RNAcentral.